AGCGAACUGCGAUAAGUAAUGCGAAUUGCAGAAUUCAGCGAGCCAUCGAAUCUUUGAACGCACAUUGCGCCCGCCAGCAUUCUGGCGGGCAUGCCUGUCCGAGCGUCAUUUCCUCCCUCACGCAGCGCGCCUGCGUGGUGUUGGGGCGUUCUGCGGUCAGGCCUGCGCCCAGCGCAGGCCGCCGCAGCCCCCGAAAGCCAGUGGCGGGCCGGCAGCGGGCUCCGAGCGCAGUAAGCAUCACGCCCUCGCUCUGGACGCCCCCGCCUGCGCCCUGCCCCCUAGACCGGCAGACGCGAGUCUGCCACCUCCUCAAGGUUGACCUCGGAUCAGGUAGGACUACCCGCUGAACUUAAGCAUAUCAAUAAGCGGAGGAAAAGAAACCAACAGGGAUUGCCCCAGUAACGGCGAGUGAAGCGGCAACAGCUCAGAUUUGGAAUCUGGCCCCCAGGGCCCGAGUUGUAAUCUGGAGAGGAUGCUUCUGGCGCGGCGCCUUCCGAGUUCCCUGGAACGGGACGCCGGAGAGGGUGAGAGCCCCGUACGGUUGGACACCUAGCCUUUGUGAA
RNAcentral lists this ribosomal RNA (563 nucleotides) under Leptographium qinlingense (nom. inval.). RNAcentral's name for it is "eukaryotic LSU rRNA". The stretch from base 317 to 563 matches the Rfam family "Eukaryotic large subunit ribosomal RNA", at positions 1 to 250 of the family's 3401-position model. The record is from RNAcentral. Lineage: Eukaryota; Fungi; Ascomycota; Sordariomycetes; Ophiostomatales; Ophiostomataceae.